Molecule: ribosomal RNA, 409 nt
Filed under: Actinomycetes bacterium
Lineage: Bacteria; Bacillati; Actinomycetota; Actinomycetes
Description: Actinobacteria bacterium partial 16S ribosomal RNA
Rfam family: Bacterial small subunit ribosomal RNA
Source: RNAcentral
UGGGGAAUAUUGCACAAUGGGCGCAAGCCUGAUGCAGCGACGCCGCGUGAGGGAUGACGGCCUUCGGGUUGUAAACCUCUUUCAGCUCCGACGAAGCGCAAGUGACGGUAGGAGCAGAAGAAGCACCGGCCAACUACGUGCCAGCAGCCGCGGUAAUACGUAGGGUGCAAGCGUUGUCCGGAAUUACUGGGCGUAAAGAGCUCGUAGGCGGUUUGUCGCGUCGUCUGUGAAAUUCUGCAGCUUAACUGCAGGCGUGCAGGCGAUACGGGCAGACUUGAGUACUACAGGGGAGACUGGAAUUCCUGGUGUAGCGGUGAAAUGCGCAGAUAUCAGGAGGAACACCGGUGGCGAAGGCGGGUCUCUGGAUAGUAACUGACGCUGAGGAGCGAAAGCGUGGGUAGCGAACAGG